Molecule: ribosomal RNA, 437 nt
Filed under: uncultured soil bacterium
Lineage: Bacteria
Description: bacterial SSU rRNA
Rfam family: Bacterial small subunit ribosomal RNA
Source: RNAcentral
UAAUGGCCUACCAAGGCGAUGAUCCGUAACUGGUCUGAGAGGACGACCAGUCACACUGGAACAGAAACACUUUCCAGACUCCUACGGGAGGCAGCAGUGGGGAAUAUUGGACAUUGGGGGCAACCCUGAUCCAGCAAUGCCGCGUGUGUGAAGAAGGCCUGCGGGUUGUAAAGCACUUUCGGUGGGGAGGAAGGCCCAGCGGUUAAUAACCGUUGGGAUUGACGUUACCCACAGAAGAAGCACCGGCUAACUCUGUGCCAGCAGCCGCGGUAAUACAGAGGGUGCGAGCGUUAAUCGGAAUUACUGGGCGUAAAGGUGCGUAGGCGGUUUGGUAAGUCUUUUGUGAAAUCUACGGGCUCAACUCGUAGACUGCAAGGGAAACUGCCGGGCUUGAGUGUGGGAGAGGUGAGUGGAAUUUCCGGUGUAGCGGUGAAAUG